RNAcentral lists this ribosomal RNA (463 nucleotides) under Stenotrophomonas maltophilia. Its description in RNAcentral is "bacterial SSU rRNA". It matches the Rfam family "Bacterial small subunit ribosomal RNA", at positions 208 to 657 of the family's 1533-position model. The record is from RNAcentral. Lineage: Bacteria; Pseudomonadati; Pseudomonadota; Gammaproteobacteria; Lysobacterales; Lysobacteraceae.
AUCUUCGGGCCUUGCGCGAUUGAAUGAGCCGAUGUCGGAUUAGCUAGUUGGCGGGGUAAAGGCCCACCAAGGCGACGAUCCGUAGCUGGUCUGAGAGGAUGAUCAGCCACACUGGAACUGAGACACGGUCCAGACUCCUACGGGAGGCAGCAGUGGGGAAUAUUGGACAAUGGGCGCAAGCCUGAUCCAGCCAUACCGCGUGGGUGAAGAAGGCCUUCGGGUUGUAAAGCCCUUUUGUUGGGAAAGAAAUCCAGCCGGCUAAUACCUGGGUGGGAUGACGGUACCCAAAGAAUAAGCACCGGCUAACUUCGUGCCAGCAGCCGCGGUAAUACGAAGGGUGCAAGCGUUACUCGGAAUUACUGGGCGUAAAGCGUGCGUAGGUGGGUGUUUAAGUCUGUUGUGAAAGCCCUGGGCUCAACCUGGGAACUGCAGUGGAAACUGGACAACUAGAGUGUGGUAGAGG